This 3823-nucleotide long non-coding RNA is filed under the name Gossypium raimondii (Peruvian cotton). RNAcentral describes it as "long non-coding RNA (GRAI_LNC007947)". Lineage: Eukaryota; Viridiplantae; Streptophyta; Magnoliopsida; Malvales; Malvaceae. The record is from RNAcentral.
UCCAUUUUGUAGUCUUAUAUGACAGUUGUCUUCUUGACACUAAAUCGCCCAACAUAAAUUAUUAUAAUACAAAGACAUAAAAGUAUGGAGUGAAAAAUGGGUGAAAGACUUAAUAGUUUUUUUGUUUGAGGGUUGAAAGACUUAAAAGUUAGUUUGAUCGUACAGGCUACUGCAAUUAACCUAUAUAUAACCUUCAUAUCAUGGCUGUUACUUGCACGCAGAGCAUUUGUUAAUCAUGAAGAGUUUAACCUUGCUUGCUCCCUUACUCUUGUGUGGUACUUUACCAUGUUCUUCUCUUAAUGUUGCGUCUGAUUCUGCAGCAGCAGCAGCAUUGGCAAUCCUCAAAUGGAAAGCCAGCCUUCAAAGCCAAAACCAUUCUGUUUUGCUUUACUUUGUUUACUUAUUGUUCAAGGUUAUCAUAGUCCUUAUCAAUAUUGGCAUUUUUACGUGUGGUAUCCAUCACCGACAAAAGGACAUCAUUUUACUAAAUCUUCACUUGCCUAUAGGUAAUGACCUCGCUCUGAUAUUUUAGGCAGAAACAUUGUCAUAGUCUACCAACUUCCUAAGUAGGAAUUUAAGCCUUUGUUUAGAUCAGGAUAUUUUAUUUUCUUGUUGGAACAAAAAACUAGAAGCAACUAUUGGGGGUAAGGCAAGACAAAACUUGAGUUCUAGUUCUCUAAAGGUGCUAGGAGCCUCGUACCCAUUUAAAACAACAAAUAGAGUAGACAUUUUCACACAAUGCAAAUCCGAUGCCUGAUUCAUCUACUCCAUACCUUAGCAUUACUCAAGUUUUAUACAGGAAGUUCCAGGCUCACUAUCAACUUCUUAGCGACAACAAGAGCAAACAAAAUGCUACGACAAGCAGUAUUGGCAGAUGAAAAAUCCGUCAAUUUACAAGGAUGGGAAUAAUUAAGAUGUGGUAGUGAUGUGAAGGGGGCACUAACCUUCAUUUAGAGCAAACCAAAUGUCAUGGCAAGCAGCAUUGGCAAAUGAAUAAUUAUAAUGUAGUAGUGAUAUAAAGGGGGCUCUAACCUUCAUUCAGAAAAACCAUAUACUAGAAAUAUCUUCGGGAUAUGGAACAGUGAUGGCAGAUUGAUGCUCUGCAGCUGCAUGAAUCCCUCCCUGCUCGUUGCACCAAAUAUUAAAUCUUAUGCACUCAAAACCCCUAUGGAGAUGGUUGACCCAACCCAAAAUAAGCUUGCCAUUGCCCAGACGAUACAGAGCGCUACCCAGUGGUGGAGCCACUGGAAAUUCUGAUGACCAUUUGACGGGCAAAUGUUUCUUAUCAAGCAAAUUAUACGCCUCCAAAGAACAUUUAUAAAUGAAAGUAUACAGCACAUCGUCCACGAUUGCCGCUGAGUCAAACCAGUAACAAAAUUUUUGUUCGAGGCAAACCCAUGAUUUACGAUCAUAGUAAUAAGCGUAAAGAGUAUCACUGGCAUCGCAGUGCACCAAAAUCCGAGAUCGGGAAGAAUCUAGAACAGGAACACAUACAACACGUAUAUCGAUAGCUUCCGGAGGGGGCGACAAUGGUUCCCAAAUAUCCCCACUUAUAUCGUAAACCUCGCCAAAAAUUCAGAACCCAUACAUUCGAAGACGUAAAUCUUUCCUUCAGCAGCAAGAACAUGGGGAAAAGACCGAGGGAACAACAUAGAAGUAGUUUUUCUCCACCCACGUUCAAGGUCCUUCAAAUCUAAUUGGAAAACAUCGUUUACAUCAUCAUAACCAAAAGGAGUAGCAUCAUUUUUGCGUAUUCCCCCAAUAACAUAAACGUGGUUGCCACAGGAAACGGCAGUGGAACUUGAAGGAGCAUCAGGUGGCAUCGCCUUAAUAAAGACUUUAUUGCUUUCCAGAUCAAUAAAGUGCAAACCGAGCGUUCUUUUACCAUCGGUACCCGGCCGUUUCUGGACGAGGGCCCUGAUCAGUUCAUCUGGCUCUCGCCCAUCAAAGUAACUGGAGGAAUCACUAGUAUCGCCGCUCAUGGUUCACCCUCAGCUUCGCCUUUCCAGAUCCAAAAUCGCUUUUAGUUUUAGGGUUUCUAGCUUGGGUUUUUUUUUUUUUUUUUAGUAUGGUUUGGGUUUAGUAGUCAUUGACAAAAAAGGAUUUAAAGUAAUAAAUUUGUUGACAAGUUAGUAAACGGUUGAUAUAUUUUUUUAAAAUAGUAAUUUGCUUGUCUCAGUUGUUAAUUUCCAAAGUAGAGAUAUUGUCAAUAUGUGACUAUUUGUAUUUUAAAAUUAUUUAUUAAUUAUGAUUAUUUUAGAAUCAAAGCUGCUAAUGGGGUAGUAAUUGCUACUAAGAAGAAAUUGCCUUCGAUCUUGGUUUAUCUAUUCAGAAAAUACAGUGUCUGACACAAGUGUUGAAGUUGUUUACAGUGCUGGGCAGGUAAUAGCAUUUUGGAUCAAGUGUAACAUAAAAUCUUUCUAAGCUCGGACAGAACUUCAGGAAGCAAAGUAAGGCAUUGAUUGGUUCUCUUUCCAUUGAACAAUCAAUCCACCAAAGCUCUUUUAAUUCGCUCAAAUAACAUUCAGGUCGCCUACUUGAGAAGACUAGAAUGAUUUCUUUUAUAGAGACCAUAACGAUAACAAGAAGGGAAAGGGAGUCUCAGUCUCAAAGACGGUGAGUUAUCUAUAUUCAAAUGCCUAUGCACAACCAUUUGUCUGUGCAUUACUAUUUAAAUAAAAAUACAGAGUUGAAAGUGAAAGAGCUUUCUUUACAAGGAGGUAUUGUUAGAGAUGAUCAAGGAAUAUCGUCAGUCUUACAUUGUUAGUUGUUUGCCAAACUUUCGCUUGAUUUUAGAUACACUAUCAUCUUUCAAUCUCUGGGAUAGCGUUUUUUUUAACCGCAUCACUUCACUUCUUGUAUGUGCUCAUUUUUUUUAAGACAUUGUCAUGAUGUGAGUUCUUUCUUUUUUAUGCUCGCCAUUUGUCCCCUUAGAAAUUUUCAUUUUUAGUUCUGGUAUCUUAGUUCUUGUUUUGGAACACUGAAUUCAUUGAAACACAAUCAAUUUUUGUUUCAAUUAUAGUUGGAACAGUGAGAUAUUCAUUUGUACACAUCUCCCACUUCAAGCCUCGUAUGAUAUUUUAUACUUGUUUAAGUUAGAGAAGAGUUGGUAUAAACUCUGAAAUGCUAUAGCUUGGGACCCAAAAGAGACAAAAGAGAAAAGCUUAUUGCCUGCGUGAAUGCCCAAAUAGAGAGGGAGAGUCUAUCAUACGUCAAGUAUAAAAAGUACCAACAACCAUUCACAAAGACUUAGAUGCAAGUCAACAAUGGUUUGAAAAAUGGGUGAGAGACUUAUGUUAUUGCAUUCUAUUCAUUUUUCCAGAUCUUCUGUUUCAAGUCUCAAAUGACAAUUUUAACUCUGUAAUAACAGAAAGGUUGAUCUAAAAUGCGAUUGCUUUGGACCCAAAAUAGAAAUGCGCUUUUAGCCUGUGUGAAUCCAAAGGGACAGUGUAUCAUACGUCAAGACUGAAAGGGGCAAAGGUCUCUUGACCUUGAAUGGGGCUAACAUAAAUUACUAUAAUACAAAGACUUCAACUUUGGAGUGAAAAAUGGGUGAGACUUUUAAUAGUUAGUUCCUAUAUAGAGGGAGAUAAAAGCUUAUUGCCUAUGUGAAUGUCCACAUCUCCAUUUUGUAGUCUUAUAUGACAGUUGUCUUCUUGACACUAAAUCGGCCAACAUAAAUUAUUAUAAUACAAAGACAUAAAACUAUGGAGUGAAAAAUGGGUGAAAGACUUAAUAGUUUUUUUAUUAGAGGGUUGAAAGACUUAAAAGUUAGUUUGAUCGUACAGGCUACUGCAAUUAACCUAUAUAUAACCUUCAUAUC